CCUACGGGAGGCUGAACCAGCCAAGUCGCGUGAGGGAAGACGGCCCUACGGGUUGUAAACCUCUUUUGUCAGGGAGCAAGGUGCAGGUCGGGACCUGCUGUGAGAGUACCUGAAGAAAAAGCAUCGGCUCACUCCGUGCCAGCAGCCGCGGUAAUACGGAGGAUGCGAGUGUUAUCCGGAUUUAUGGGGUUUAAAGGGUGCGCAGGCGGAGGCACAAGUCAGCGGUAAAAUCGCGGGGCUCAACCCCGCUCCGCCGUUGAAACUGUGUCCCUUGAGUGCGCGAAGGGUAGGCGGAAGGCGUGGGGUAGCGGUGAAAUGCAUAGAUAGCACGAAGAACUCCGAUCGCGAAGGCAGCCUACCGGCGCGCAACUGACGCUCAUGCACGAAAGCGUGGGUAUCGAACAGGAUUAGAUACCCCUGUAGUC
RNAcentral lists this ribosomal RNA (425 nucleotides) under uncultured bacterium. RNAcentral describes it as "partial 16S ribosomal RNA". It matches the Rfam family "Bacterial small subunit ribosomal RNA", at positions 368 to 795 of the family's 1533-position model. The record is from RNAcentral.